RNAcentral lists this ribosomal RNA (428 nucleotides) under Fusobacteriota bacterium. RNAcentral describes it as "Fusobacteria bacterium partial 16S ribosomal RNA". It matches the Rfam family "Bacterial small subunit ribosomal RNA", at positions 355 to 776 of the family's 1533-position model. The record is from RNAcentral. Lineage: Bacteria; Fusobacteriati; Fusobacteriota.
UGGGGAAUAUUGCGCAAUGGGCGAAAGCCUGACGCAGCGACGCCGCGUGAGGGAUGAAGGUUUUCGGAUCGUAAACCUCUGUCAGAAGGGAAGAAACCGCACUGUGCUAAUCAGCAGUGCCUUGACGGUACCUUCAAAGGAAGCACCGGCUAACUCCGUGCCAGCAGCCGCGGUAAUACGGAGGGUGCAAGCGUUAAUCGGAAUUACUGGGCGUAAAGCGCACGUAGGCUGCUUUGUAAGUCAGGGGUGAAAUCCCACGGCUCAACCGUGGAACUGCCUUUGAUACUGCUUAGCUUGAAUCCGGGAGAGGGUGGCGGAAUUCCAGGUGUAGGAGUGAAAUCCGUAGAUAUCUGGAGGAACAUCAGUGCGAAGGCGGCCACCUGGACCGGUAUUGACGCUGAGGUGCGAAAGCGUGGGGAGCAAACAGG